CAGAUGCCAAGAGGAAGCCUCUGUUGGAAGUCACUGCAGCCAAGUGGAUUCUAUCUGGCUGGUCUCAAGCUGCUGAGCUCAGGCAGUCCUCCGUCCUCAGCCAGGGAUUCCCAGAGUGACACACUUAUUGUUUCAUAUGGACGUCACAAUUUGCCUGUUCUCCCAGCAGUGGAUGUUUGUGUUAUUUCCAAUUACUUGCUAUUAUCUCAGUGCUUAUAAAUGAGUGUUUCUCUUAUACCCAGUUCCUGGGUUAUGGGUUAUGCUUAUGCUCAUCUGGACAGUUGAAUUUAAAACUGUUUUCCAAAGUGGUUGGAUGUCCUUCAUCAGCAAUAUAUCCCAUUGGUCCUUUGUAUGUCAAACUUGGCAGUCUAAGGAAUAAUUAAUGUUUGCAUCACUGAACUGAUUGGGAAUACUUGUUUCUGUUUGUUAUUUAUUUUUCAAGGUCUCAGGAGGAACUUCAGGCCUUAGUAAGGUCAUUACAGCACAUUAACUUUGUCUUCUGGGUUUCCUUACUUGGUUUUAUUUUGGUUUGCUCACAGACACCCCUCCCAACCGAUGCGCCGUCUGCUUAAGCUUUUCCUCCAUAAUUAGUUCUAUCAGCAGUUUCUGGUUUUUGUUGCCUGAAUACACUCACAUUAAUGGCUACAUGUGCUGUCUUACUUGUGCAGGCUUAAUAACCAUCUUAUCAACAACAAUAAUAUUAACAUUUAUAAAAAUCAAAUGAUAUCAGCCACUCACUUAUCCCUCCUUUCAGUUUCAGCCAAGAAACAAGUAAAAAUCAAGAUAUAAUAUCACAUUUCUGCUUGUAAAAUUGCACUGGAGAAAUGGAAGAGCUUGGUCCCAUCCUUAUUCAAUCUGUCUCCAGUUAACUCCUGGAUAAACUCAAGAAGGCUGCCUUCCCUGUAUCAGGGGUCAGGCCCUGACCUAAGACUAUCACUUGGUAGCAAGAAGCUAAGGAAGAAAGGAUAUUCAAUUUUAAGGGAUGCAGGUAGGAGGCAGGAGACAGAGACAGACAGACAGAAGAUGGAGAUUUAGGUUGCCUACAUUUCAGUGUAGCAACCCCACCUCUGGAAACCAUGGCCCACUGCAAGCCAGACUCACCACUAUCACAUAGCUCAUCCCUCUUCCUAUGGAGGAAAUGGACCACUCUAUUAAACACUCUAUAUAUAUUAUACUAUUUAAUAUGUAAAACAUUCUUAUGCAUGGGUAUUAAUAUUUCAUUACAAUGUUAUAGAUGAAGACACUGAAGAGUACAAAUGUAUAGAUAAUUUCAUAGCUAAAAGUGAUAGAGCUGAAAUUUGAACACAGUCUAUUGACUACAGAACCCAAAAGUGUAGCCUCUUCCCUAUACUGCUCCUUUUUAACAGGAAUCUUCUGGAAACCCAAUGCCUUCAUUCAACAAAGUGACUAUACUAAGCUAAAGACCUGGCACCAAGGCAAGUCAUAAGGAGAUGCCUCAGUACUUCUUGGUUCCCCUAGAAAUAUACCUUGUACAUCGGUUUUGACUUCAGAAUUCCAAACUGAGCACUGAAAAACUAGCUUGGUAAUAUUUCCACUUAGACAUUUUAGUACUUAAUUAAAUGAAUAUCCACGUGAGGCUUAUGAGUUGCCUUGCACUCUUUGGGGUGCUAUGUGAGCCCCUACAUGUACAUGCAUGCACAUGUGCACACAUGAACACCAAAACACAUAUGCACAUACACAUAC
Long non-coding RNA from Cebus imitator (Panamanian white-faced capuchin), 1704 nucleotides. RefSeq lists it as uncharacterized. The record is from RefSeq and is a predicted model, not a curated record. Lineage: Eukaryota; Metazoa; Chordata; Mammalia; Primates; Cebidae. The transcript has 3 exons.